CCUACGGGAGGCAGCAGUGAGGAAUAUUGGUCAAUGGACGUAAGUCUGAACCAGCCAAGUCGCGUGAGGGAAGACUGCCCUAUGGGUUGUAAACCUCUUUUAUAAGGGAAGAAUAAGUUCUACGUGUAGAAUGAUGCCUGUACCUUAUGAAUAAGCAUCGGCUAACUCCGUGCCAGCAGCCGCGGUAAUACGGAGGAUGCGAGCGUUAUCCGGAUUUAUUGGGUUUAAAGGGUGCGUAGGCGGUUUAUUAAGUUAGUGGUUAAAUAUUUGAGCUAAACUCAAUUGUGCCAUUAAUACUGGUAAACUGGAGUACAGACGAGGUAGGCGGAAUAAGUUAAGUAGCGGUGAAAUGCAUAGAUAUAACUUAGAACUCCGAUAGCGAAGGCAGCUUACCAGACUGUAACUGACGCUGAUGCACGAGAGCGUGGGUAGCGAACAG
RNAcentral lists this ribosomal RNA (439 nucleotides) under uncultured Odoribacter sp. RNAcentral describes it as "bacterial SSU rRNA". It matches the Rfam family "Bacterial small subunit ribosomal RNA", at positions 338 to 775 of the family's 1533-position model. The record is from RNAcentral. Lineage: Bacteria; Pseudomonadati; Bacteroidota; Bacteroidia; Bacteroidales; Odoribacteraceae.